This 446-nucleotide ribosomal RNA is filed under the name uncultured bacterium. Its description in RNAcentral is "bacterial SSU rRNA". It matches the Rfam family "Bacterial small subunit ribosomal RNA", at positions 328 to 793 of the family's 1533-position model. The record is from RNAcentral.
CUCUGUGACUCCUACGGGAGCAGCAGUGGGAAUAUUGCACAAUGGGCGCAAGCCUGAUGCAGCAACGCCGCGUGAGCGAUGAAGGCCUUCGGGUCGUAAAGCUCUGUCCUCAAGGAAGAAUACAUGACGGUACUUGAGGAGGAAGCCCCGGCUAACUACGUGCCAGCAGCCGCGGUAAUACGUAGGGGCAAGCGUUAUCCGGAAUCACUGGGCGUAAAGGGGUGCGUAGGCGGUUUUCAAGUCAGGAGUGAAAGGCUAUGGCUCAACCAUAGUAAGCUCUUGAAACUGUUAAACUUGAGUGCAGGAGAGGAAAGUGGAAUUCCUAGUGUAGAGGUGAAAUUCGUAGAUAUUAGGAGGAACACCAGUGGCGAAGGCGACUUUCUGGACUGUAACUGACGCUGAGGCACGAAAGCGUGGGGAGCGAACAGGAUUAGAUACCCUGGUAG